GGGAGAUUAGCUCAGUUGGUUCAGAGCACCUGCCUUACAAGCAGGGGGUCAUAAGUUCGAAUCUUAUAUCUCCCACCA
Molecule: transfer RNA, 78 nt
Filed under: Bacteroidota bacterium
Lineage: Bacteria; Pseudomonadati; Bacteroidota
Description: Bacteroidetes bacterium tRNA-Val
Rfam family: tRNA
About the family: Transfer RNA (tRNA) molecules are approximately 80 nucleotides in length. Their secondary structure includes four short double-helical elements and three loops (D, anti-codon, and T loops). Further hydrogen bonds mediate the characteristic L-shaped molecular structure. tRNAs have two regions of fundamental functional importance: the anti-codon, which is responsible for specific mRNA codon recognition, and the 3' end, to which the tRNAs corresponding amino acid is attached (by aminoacyl-tRNA synthetases). tRNAs cope with the degeneracy of the genetic code in two manners: having more than one tRNA (with a specific anti-codon) for a particular amino acid; and 'wobble' base-pairing, i.e. permitting non-standard base-pairing at the 3rd anti-codon position.
Source: RNAcentral